AGCGAACGCUGGCGGCAGGCCUAACACAUGCAAGUCGAACGCGUGUAGCAAUACACGAGUGGCAGACGGGUGAGUAACACGUGGGAACGUGCCCUUCGGUUCGGAAUAACUCAGGGAAACUUGAGCUAAUACCGGAUACGCCCUUACGGGGAAAGAUUUAUCGCCGAUGGAUCGGCCCGCGUCUGAUUAGCUAGUUGGUGAGGUAACGGCUCACCAAGGCGACGAUCAGUAGCGGUCUGAGAGGAUGAUCAGCCACACUGGGACUGAGACACGGCCCAGACUCCUACGGGAGGCAGCAGUGGGGAAUAUUGGACAAUGGGGGAAACCCUGAUCCAGCCAUGCCGCGUGAGUGAUGAAGGCCCUAGGGUUGUAAAGCUCUUUCGGCGGGGACGAAUAAUGACGGUACCCGCAGAAGAAGCCCCGGCUAACUCGUGCCAGCCGCCGCC
Molecule: ribosomal RNA, 446 nt
Filed under: uncultured bacterium
Lineage: Bacteria
Description: bacterial SSU rRNA
Rfam family: Bacterial small subunit ribosomal RNA
Source: RNAcentral